UUAACCUCAGAUCAGGCAAGAUUACCCGCUGAAUUUAAGCAUAUUACUAAGCGGAGGAAAAGAAACUAACAAGGAUUCCCCUAGUAAUGGCGAAUGAAGAGGGAACAGCUCAACUUGAAAAUCUCCGUUGUGUUGCAACGGCGAAUUGUAGUUUCGAGAAGUACUUUCCCGGCGCAUCGGGUUUGCCUAAGUUG
Molecule: ribosomal RNA, 194 nt
Filed under: Discophyton rudyi
Lineage: Eukaryota; Metazoa; Cnidaria; Anthozoa; Malacalcyonacea; Discophytidae
Description: partial 28S ribosomal RNA
Rfam family: Eukaryotic large subunit ribosomal RNA
Source: RNAcentral